This 775-nucleotide ribosomal RNA is filed under the name uncultured Neocallimastigales. Its description in RNAcentral is "partial large subunit ribosomal RNA". It matches the Rfam family "Eukaryotic large subunit ribosomal RNA", at positions 18 to 643 of the family's 3401-position model. The record is from RNAcentral. Lineage: Eukaryota; Fungi; Neocallimastigomycota; Neocallimastigomycetes; Neocallimastigales.
UCAGACGAUGCGUCAUGCAUAUCAAUAAGCGGAGGAAAAGAAACUAACAAGGAUUCCCCUAGUAACGGCGAGUGAAGCGGGAAGAGCUCAAAUUUGAAAUCUUAAAGGGUUUCCCUUUACGAAUUGUAGUUUAAAGAAGUGUUUUCUGUUGAGGUUUUGGUAAAAGUUCUUUGGAAUAGGACAUCAUAGAGGGUGAGAAUCCCGUAUUUGACCUUUACUUUCAACUUUGUGAUACACUUUCAAAGAGUCGGAUUGUUUGGGAAUGCAGUCCAAAAUGGGUGGUAAAUUUCAUCUAAAGCUAAAUAGUUGGCGAGAGACCGAUAGCGAACAAGUACCGUGAGGGAAAGAUGAAAAGAACUUUGAAAAGAGAGUUAAACAGUACGUGAAAUUGUCAAAAGGGAAGCGUUUGACACCAGUGUUGUUUUUCUGAAAAUCAAUUAAAGAACUGUUUAUGCUAAGUUGUUUAGACUUUAUCAGCUAUCUGUUUAGUUUUGAGCUUUUCUUUAAUGCACUUUUCAGUUAACAAGUCAACAUCAAUUUCUUUUGCUGUAAAAAAGCUUGAGGAAGGUGGCUUGAGAUUCGUCUUAAGUGUUUAUAGCCUCUUGCCUAUGCAGUCGGAGAGAUUGAGGUCUGCAGCGUAGAUCCUUCGGGGCUAAAUGCAUUUGUGCUAAGUUAUAGCAUUUUAUAGACAACUUGUUGACUAUGAUUUGUCUUGUAGCUUACUCGCUUAUGUUAUUUUACCUACGCUUAGGAUGUUGACACACGCGCGUGCUCG